Molecule: signal recognition particle RNA, 265 nt
Filed under: Clostridiales bacterium
Lineage: Bacteria; Bacillati; Bacillota; Clostridia; Eubacteriales
Also listed under: 1 other name
Description: signal recognition particle sRNA large type
Rfam family: Bacterial large signal recognition particle RNA
About the family: The signal recognition particle (SRP) is a universally conserved ribonucleoprotein involved in the co-translational targeting of proteins to membranes. Archaeal SRP consists of a 7S RNA and homologues of the eukaryotic SRP19 and SRP54 proteins.
Source: RNAcentral
CUGCGCUAGGCGGGGAGCUAGCGGUGCCCUGUUACCUACAAUCCGCUACAGUAGGGCUGAAUGUUGCAGGCGGUUUUAUGUGUGGAAAGCCGUGAAUCGGCAAGGAGUGUUGAUACCAAGGUCUUGUGCAACGUGAAUCUGUGAAUCGUGUCAGGGUGGGAACACAGCAGCACUAAGCAGCACGAGCGUGUGCCACGAGGUAGCUUUGGAGUAGCCACCUACCGGGAUACCGUUUCGGCAUGUACUGCCAACUGCAAAUGCGCAG